RNAcentral lists this long non-coding RNA (401 nucleotides) under Homo sapiens (human). Its description in RNAcentral is "HSALNT0355738". The record is from RNAcentral. Lineage: Eukaryota; Metazoa; Chordata; Mammalia; Primates; Hominidae.
CUGCUUCAGUGUUAGAUCCCUAAUUCCUCGCACAGUGCCGUGCACAUAUGCCUGCCUUGGCUCUGCUUUCUCCAAACCUGUCCCCAUCGGUCAGCUGGGGUGGACGAGUGUUUUCCAUCUUGCAAAGUCAUUGUGUGGGGAAGAUGAGAUAUUCCACGUGAAGCCCCCAGCACGGCCCCCAGCGCAGCCUCCUUCCAGGAAUGUUGGCUCUGAGGUCGUCUUCCGCGUGAGUUUUCAUCUGUCACUUGUAACAGGAGUGCUGGUGGGAACCAUGGUGCAGGUGAGCAGGCUGACAGCAGCAGUUCUUGUUGGGGAGACUUUUUUCUCUAUUGUUGGGGAGACUUUUUUCUCUACUGUCAUAGCUUGAAAUAUCUGGGGUCUGCAAGUGAACGGACAGCAGA